Molecule: ribosomal RNA, 253 nt
Filed under: uncultured bacterium
Lineage: Bacteria
Description: partial 16S ribosomal RNA
Rfam family: Bacterial small subunit ribosomal RNA
Source: RNAcentral
GACGUAGGGUGCGAGCGUUGUCCGGAUUUAUUGGGCGUAAAGAGCUCGUAGGCGGCUCGUCGCGUCGACCGUGAAAACCCGCGGCUUAACUGCGGGCUUGCGGUUGAUACGGGCGGGCUAGAGUUCGGUAGGGGAGACUGGAAUUCCUGGUGUAGCGGUGAAAUGCGCAGAUAUCGGGAGGAACACCGGUGGCGAAGGCGGCUCUCUGGGACGGUACUGACGCUGAGACGCGAAAGCGUGGGGAGCGAACAGG